CUCGAUCGGGAUUUGAACUCGAGCCCACCAACCAGGUAGUUAAAAAAAAAGCACUCUACCACCAGAGCUAUCGCAUUGCUUAUGAACCCUCUAUGCAAACAGAUACUAAUAUAGGCGAGCAUGUAUAUACGUAUACGCAUACUUACAUACAAUACAUACAUAGCAGGCGUUGCGUUUUUCCCAAACAAAAAUAUUUCUUUAAUAAGAAACACAAUUUUUAUUUAAAAUUAUUGUAAAUACGAUUAAAAAAAAAAAAGUUUAUACCCCGAAACCGAGAUACAAAUAUAGAGGCGAGCAUCCAAAUUUUCAGGAAUCACAAAUACCAUUGUUAUUAUUGUAUAUACCAAAAUUCGUCUAGCUUAGAUAUUACUUUUGUUAUUAUUGAUUUGCGGGAGCAGAAGUGGACGUGAAAAAAAUUUGAAACAAACUUGAUCUGCGUGCAAACAUCAAGUGCUGUCGAAAAAAUUAUAUAUAUAUAAUAAACGUAACAAUAUGACAGCUUACCGUUGUUGUGUUUUGUGUGCACUGCUUUCCAUAAUUUUCGUAAGCAGAUCCUGGCUUUUGGAUUGUACUACUUUCUUCUAAAUCUACUGCUGCCUCAUUGAAG
Long non-coding RNA from Drosophila albomicans, 607 nucleotides. RefSeq lists it as uncharacterized. The transcript is spliced from 3 exons. The record is from RefSeq and is a predicted model, not a curated record. Lineage: Eukaryota; Metazoa; Arthropoda; Insecta; Diptera; Drosophilidae.